This 557-nucleotide long non-coding RNA is filed under the name Lathyrus oleraceus (garden pea). RNAcentral's name for it is "Pisum sativum (pea) long non-coding RNA (PSAT_LNC015200)". Lineage: Eukaryota; Viridiplantae; Streptophyta; Magnoliopsida; Fabales; Fabaceae. The record is from RNAcentral.
UUCACUUGCCCCUGGAAUCGGGCGCGAAAGACAAGACUUUCUUGAGCACAAGGCCACCUUUUCGGAACACACGAGGCUUGACCUUCUUAUCGAAUGCUUUCUUCACUCUCUGCUGAUAUAACUGACCAUGCCACAUGGCAGUUAACCUCUUCUUUUCGAUUGGAUUCACUUGGUCGUAACGACUCUGAAUCCAUUCAGCAUCAGUCAACUUGGGACUUUGAGGGUGCUAUUUCUCUUUUGUUUCUUUCUUUCUUUUUUCUUUUGAUUUCGAUCUCUUUUGAUUUCUUCUGAUUUCUUUCUUUCUUUUUUUGCACCCUCCUCUUUCUUUUCUUUUUUUUUAAUGCCCCAGUUGGCUGUUUUGCUGAUUCUCGAGAUGCAGCUGAGUGAUCUUCUUUUCUUGCUCAAGAAGUCGGGAAAUCUCGUCAGGAAUCCCUUCAACAUCAUCUUCUUCCACUUCGAAUACAGGGAAUUCAAAAUUGGGAGAUGACGUCGGAUCAUUAUGUUCAAUGGGUUUAAGAAUCAACCUGCAUAAUGACUUUGAUAUGAAAAGCUUUUUG